UUUUAGGGAGACCUACCCAUUUUAGAUUGUAAAUUUUGGAUUUUGGAUUUUUUGAAUAGAGUCUAAAAUCGGAAAUCAAAAAUCUAAAAUAGUGUCAUUCCUAGGUCGGUUGCUAAUGCAAUUGUGGCUAUCAAACUGUAUAUUAGGUUCGAUUAUGGGCUAUUAGCUCAGGUGGUUAGAGCGCACCCCUGAUAAGGGUGAGGUCCCUGGUUCGAGUCCAGGAUGGCCCACCUGAAACAAGUAAAAGGAGUAAAGUAAAAAGAAUGGAUUUUCUCUUUCUUUUGCCUUUUAUCUUUUAACUUGGUUGAUGGGGGUUUAGCUCAGUUGGUAGAGCGCCUGCUUUGCAAGCAGGAUGUCAGCGAUUCGAGUCCGCUAACCUCCACAUUUAUGAAGCAUUUAUUAAAAAUAGUCAGAAUAAAUGCUGGUAGAAAACAAUUGGAAAAUUCAGCAACUUCCGUUAUUUAGAUAACGCAGCCUGCUGGAUGUAUAUCCAGUAAAGAACCUUGAAAACUGCAUAGUGACGCAAAUUGUAGGCAGUAACUGUAAUAAUUACUUUAGUAAUUGUUAUGGGUAUUGGAUUACAGACAAAUCCUUUGAAUUGAUUAAAUU
This 609-nucleotide transfer RNA is filed under the name Dulcicalothrix sp. HA4283-MV5. Its description in RNAcentral is "Calothrix sp. HA4283-MV5 16S-23S ribosomal RNA intergenic spacer". The stretch from base 310 to 382 matches the Rfam family "tRNA". Lineage: Bacteria; Bacillati; Cyanobacteriota; Cyanophyceae; Nostocales; Calotrichaceae. The record is from RNAcentral.